CCAUCGUAAUUGGACACAUAUUAUUUGGAUCAUAACAAUCUGCAGACACUUGGAAUCGACCAAAUGACCAGGGGAGAAUAAAUGGUAACUCUGCAGAGAGGCAAUGAUAAGGAGUUAAACCUGGAGGUUUCAAUGAACCAGAUUCACACUGUUCCACGGGCUGAGGGAUUGUGUUGCAGAAAUGCAGCAAUGCACCAGUAAAGAAGAAAGAAAUGGAUGUGAACAACGCAGGAUUUGGAAAAAAAUCUGAAAUCAGCUCUGCAAAUGUUGUGAGGGAGAAAACACUGACAACACAUCUGUUGGACCUCAGAUUUACAAGAUUUAUAUUCAAAACUUAUUACCUGUAAAUAAAGUAUGAGGCAUUUCUACAGAUUUAGCCACCCAACAGUAUAUUUAAAAAAUGUUAAUGUAGCUCCCUUUCAGUUUAAUACUGACAGCAGCCAUCACUUUUGACACUGAUCUAAAUAACUGCCCAGAGAAUGUACGCUUUGUUGUACGUCCUUUAAUUUGUAAGGGUGGACAGAAUAAUGAGAACUGCUGCUUAAGGUGGCACCCAGACUGUUCCCCAUUCAGUGUUUUUACAGGUUAUGACAUCAACCGUUCAGCAGCUAAUCAGCCUUUUUAAACAAAAACAGAGCUCUAGAGAGCACUGAGAUGUGGAGUGACAACGUAAUAAGUCCUUUACUGAUUAUAUGAUGUUUUGAUCUUUUUCAAAUUUGAACUCAAGCUAAACACGGUCCUUAAACUGUAACAUGAUGCUAUAGACAACCAAUUUAACAUUUUCGGUCAAGCUUCAAACACUUGAGUGUGGUAUUGAUAAGGAACCACACUCUCUUAAUUUCACAGUAAAGUUAACCAUUUGGACUGCGUUGUUUUUAAUCCAAUAGCAGCAAUAAUUGUAGCUAGACGGGGACAGAGCAGACAUGUUCUCCAAAUGCGUCACAAUUUUGUGACUAAUGAUAACAUCACUGCUGAAGUUUGAUUAUUAGAUUAGAUUUGGCCAAAGCGCUGUGUGAUGUUAUUCCCACACACUGUGUGUUUGUGGGUACAUAGAUCAGUGUGUGUGCUGGCAUGUGUUUCCACUGUGUUAAUUACAUUUUGUAAGUUUCCAAAACUUCUGCCAGUUUCUCUGACUAGCACUCAAAGAAGCUCGCUGUCUUUAUGCAAAUUCAAAGGUGUGUUCUGUCACAACAAGCUGAAAUACAAAAGGUACUUAGCAAGACUUAAUUUAUGAUUAUGGUUUACAGUGGGUAUUGUUUGAAUUUGUACUGCUUGUAAACAUGUAUUUUUGGUUGAGAAAGUCAUGCUGUUUAUUUAAAGAUUUACUACACAAACACAAAUGUAAAUAUUUCAGUUUUCAGUCUUCUAGUCUAAAUCUAAACUGAUUAUUUAUUCAAUCUUCCACUUCCCUCACACAACACACACACAGCAAGAGUGACUAUUCAGUGUGAUUCAUCAGCAUUACCGGCAGAACAGUAACUUUAUUAUAACAGAUCUUAUCUGGUCUGCCCUGCUCACCAUUUGAAAGCCCUGGGUAUUUUUACUCUUUCUUCUCUGUCCAACUUGUGUCCAGAGGGCUUGUGGUGUUGCCGCUUGUUUGCAAAGAGAUAGAGGGGACCAGCCAGAUGGGUAACACACACAGUCUCACACACACACAAACACAGAUGGUCUUGGAGAUAGAGGGAAAAGAGGGAGAUGACUUUUGGAUCAACCUUCAUACACUCUGUGUCUCACCAGCCACACACAUGCACGCACACGGACACAGAGCGCUCAAAAGAGAAGCACAAUCUGGUAUGGACCUUCAUCAAGUCUAGUAUCAGAGUAUAUGCUCGUCAAAAAAUGGGUUUCAUUUUGUUAAAUAUUCUGCACUUAAUUAACUGUGACCUUGAUUUCAUACAACCUACAUAGUUAACACAAGCAAACUCUGCAUGUGAACUUAUAUUGAACACAGUGCAUGUCAGAGAAAAGGCUACUUAAUUUCUGAAUAAAAAGCUGUGAUUUUC
Lates calcarifer (barramundi perch) is the source of this 2003-nucleotide long non-coding RNA. RefSeq lists it as uncharacterized. NCBI's taxonomy places the organism in Eukaryota, Metazoa, Chordata, Actinopteri, Centropomidae. The record is from RefSeq and is a predicted model, not a curated record. The transcript is spliced from 2 exons.